GACAGAGGUGCCGAGCGUUAGGCGGAAUCACUGGGCUUAAAGCGUGUGUAGGCGGAUGCCUAAGUACCUUGUGAAAUCCCACGGCUCAACCGUGGAACUGCUUGGUAUACUGGGUGUCUUGAGCUAUCUAGGGGCAACUGGAACAAACGGUGGAGCGGUGAAAUGCGUAGAUAUCGUUUGGAACGCUAAUGGUGAAAACAGGUUGCUGGGGAUAUGCUGACGCUGAGACACGAAGGCCAGGGGAGCAAACGGG
This 253-nucleotide ribosomal RNA is filed under the name uncultured bacterium. Its description in RNAcentral is "partial 16S ribosomal RNA". It matches the Rfam family "Bacterial small subunit ribosomal RNA", at positions 524 to 776 of the family's 1533-position model. The record is from RNAcentral.